Molecule: ribosomal RNA, 301 nt
Filed under: uncultured bacterium
Lineage: Bacteria
Description: partial 16S ribosomal RNA
Rfam family: Bacterial small subunit ribosomal RNA
Source: RNAcentral
CAGCAGCCGCGGUAAUACGUAGGUGGCAAGCGUUGUCCGGAAUUAUUGGGCGUAAAGGGCUCGCAGGCGGUUUCUUAAGUCUGACGUGAAAGCCCCCGGCUCAACCGGGGAGGGUCAUUGGAAACUGGGAAACUUGAGUGCAGAAGAGGAGAGUGGAAUUCCACGUGUAGCGGUGAAAUGCGUAGAGAUGUGGAGGAACACCAGUGGCGAAGGCGACUCUCUGGUCUGUAACUGACGCUGAGGAGCGAAAGCGUGGGGAGCGAACAGGAUUAGAUACCCGCGUAGUCCCUGUCUCUUAUAC